CAAAGCUUUUUUGCCAAACCACUGUGAACAGCUUAGACUUCGCGUCUUUGCAAUUGCUUGGGUGUCGAAAGGCGCCCAAUCUUUAAAACUUUUAUAUUUGUUCUGAAACAAUGAAAAUUUAAAACUUUCAACAACGGAUCUCUUGGUUCUCGUAUCGAUGAAGAACGCAGCAAAGCGCGAUAGGUAAUGCGAAUUGCAGACGUGAGUCAUUGAAUUUUUGAACGCAUAUUGCGCUAUUAGUUUGUCUAAUAGCAUGCUUGUUGGAGUGAUAAUCUUCCUCUCAACCAUUUUUGGUAUGAGGUCUUGCUCCUUUUAGGAGUUAAAAUCAUGGAAGUGCACACGUUAAUUAACUCUGUGCAGUUAUACACUUUUCAUCCUCCAAUCAAGCAAGGUUACCCGCUGAACUUAAGCAUAUCAAUAAGCGGAGGAAAGG
Molecule: ribosomal RNA, 433 nt
Filed under: Starmerella bacillaris
Lineage: Eukaryota; Fungi; Ascomycota; Dipodascomycetes; Dipodascales; Trichomonascaceae
Description: eukaryotic LSU rRNA
Rfam family: 5.8S ribosomal RNA (bases 123-271)
Source: RNAcentral